ACGGUACCGGAAGAAUAAGCACCGGCUAACUACGUGCCAGCAGCCGCGGUAAUACGUAGGGUGCGAGCGUUAAUCGGAAUUACUGGGCGUAAAGCGUGCGCAGGCGGUUUCGUUAAGACAGAUGUGAAAUCCCCGGGCUUAACCUGGGAACUGCAUUUGUGACUGGCGAGGCUAGAGUAUGGCAGAGGGGGGUAGAAUUCCACGUGUAGCAGUGAAAUGGCGUAGAGAUGUGGAGGAAUACCGAUGGCGAAGGCAGCCCCCUGGGCCAAUACUGACGCUCAUGCACGAAAGCGUGGGGAGCAAACAGGAUUAGAUAACCCUGGUAGUCCACGCCCUAAACGAUGUCAAACUAGUUGUUGGGUCUUCAUUGACUUAGUAAACGUAGCUAAACGGCGUGAAGUUGACCGCCUGGGGAGUACGGUCGGCAAGAUUAAAACUCU
Molecule: ribosomal RNA, 440 nt
Filed under: uncultured bacterium
Lineage: Bacteria
Description: bacterial SSU rRNA
Rfam family: Bacterial small subunit ribosomal RNA
Source: RNAcentral